Long non-coding RNA from Engraulis encrasicolus (European anchovy), 277 nucleotides. RefSeq lists it as uncharacterized. The record is from RefSeq and is a predicted model, not a curated record. The transcript is spliced from 3 exons. Lineage: Eukaryota; Metazoa; Chordata; Actinopteri; Clupeiformes; Engraulidae.
AGAUCGUGGUGGAUUGAUGAGUGUGGUGGAGCUGCUGCUUUCACUGACAUUUCUGUCUUUUCUUGAACAUCCCAUAAACACACCAGAAGUGCCACAUGCAGUUGUGUACAUGCUUGGUGCCUCUGGACCGAGUGUAGUGAAUUCCAUUGCCCUGAUGACUGAAUUGAUUUAUAAGUCAAUGACUGGACAACGCAACAUUACUGACCUACGAGUAGUUCUGUUCCUGACUGAAAGUGUUUUCGUCAUAUGCUGGAUAUCAUUGACACUCUACUGUAUU